Molecule: long non-coding RNA, 355 nt
Organism: Dendronephthya gigantea
Lineage: Eukaryota; Metazoa; Cnidaria; Anthozoa; Malacalcyonacea; Nephtheidae
Exons: 4
Source: RefSeq, a predicted model, not a curated record
AUUAUUAAGACAGUAUUUCGUUUGUCCUGUGUAAAGAAUGUGGGAUAUGACAGUAAAUGACAAUUUUUUUCGUUUCAGUGAUGACGAACAUAUCACAUCAAUGUCAGAAUUCAGCGUCUAUAAAGAAACUCCUCGGAGUAAAAUAUUUUUAAUAAUUCGAAAUCGAAACCAUCCUCAGUCGUUCGGGCUGGAAUACACAAGCGGUCGGCUGAGAAAUUACUCGUCUCCUGACAGGUUAUCGUUGGGGUCCAUUGUAUAAUGUUGUUGACGAAGAAGUAGAAAGCAGUCAUUUAAAUUCCUCGCUGCAUCUCCAGGAAAUUUAACCGAAGCUGUGUACAGAUUUAACUGCAAUAUU